This 1304-nucleotide long non-coding RNA is filed under the name Sus scrofa (pig). Its description in RNAcentral is "lncRNA (ENSSSCG00060002390.1)". The record is from RNAcentral. Lineage: Eukaryota; Metazoa; Chordata; Mammalia; Artiodactyla; Suidae.
CGUUUGCUUAGCAUUAAUUAAAAUUUUUCCACGAUGUCCUGAAUAUUCAAGACCCUGGAGAUAAAGUGAUGUUAAUGUUCGCACUCAGGCAGCCCUGGAUCUCUGUCUGGACCGCUGACAGCCUCUGACAACAGCUAAAUUACUCCUUGGAAAUCAAUAAAAUAUUUCCAUUUUGAUGCUUAUUUAUUGUGUCCUGAUAUAUUCUCUUGAUGCUACAGUAAAUAUUUGACAUAUCAUUAGAACUUUCCUCAGAAAUAUGGAGAGUAACUGGAGUUGGCUGCCACAACAAAGAUGCAUGCUUUACCCCAUACUGCAAUUCAGUUUCCUGGGAAAUCGACUCUGAGGCAUUGAUUCAUGUGCAGGAAAUUUACUGGGUAGUGCUGUUAAGGUGAAUACCUGUGGCAACGUGAAGGCAGAGAGGCAGGUUGAGAAAGAAGGAGUCAGAACCAAGGCCUCAGCUAAUUCCCUGGGGCUGGGGGUGGGGGUGAGGGAGUUUUGGACCUGAGUGGCUGUACAGAGUUGCCCCCCAUUGAAGAAAGGGGAAUAGUCCUUUAUACCUAUGUGCUGACCCAGGCUGGAUGGAGGUUGUACCCAGGAAGGGGACUGACCUUGGACAAGUGGGCUCUCUUCAGGAAAUACCAACAAAUAAAAUAUAAAAUAAACUCAUAUUCCCAUUUAUGUGCAUUUGUUACAUGUUUGCUACCCAGAUUUCAGCUUUAACAUUCAUCACCACCUUCUAAGACUAUCUUCUAAGAUAGGUACCACCAUUUUACACAUGAAGAAACUAAGGCCCAGAGAAUUUAAAUAACUUGUUAGAGGAGUUCCCGUCGUGGCUCAGUGGUUAACAAAUCCGACUAGGAACCAUGAGGUUGCAUGUUUGAUCCCCAGCCUUGUUCAGUGGGUUAAAGAGCUGUGGUAUAGGUCAUAGACGCAGCUUGGAUCCCACGUUGCUAUGGCUGUGGUGUAGGCCGGCAGCUACAGCCUGGGAAUCUCCAUAUGCCACAGGUACGGCGAUACAAAAGACAAAAAGACAAUAAAUAAGUAAAUAAAUAAAUAAAUAAACUUGUUAGAAAUUGACAGAGCUAAGAUAUGAACUCAGGUGUUUUUGGAGUUCCCGUCAUGGUGCAGUGGAAACAAAUCCAACUUGGAACCAUGAGGUUGCGGGUUUGAUCCCUGGCCUCUCUCAGUGGGUUAAGGAUCUGGCAUUUCCGUGAGCUGUGGUGUAGGUCACACAUGUGGCUCGGAUCUGGUGUUGCUGUAGCUCUGGCUUAGGCCAGCAGCAACAGCUCUGAUUAGACCCUUAG